CCUACGGGUGGCAGCAGUGAGGAAUAUUGGUCAAUGGCCGCGAGCCUGAACCAGCCAAGCAGCGUGAAGGAUGACUGUCCUACGGGUUGUAAACUUCUUUUGUCAAGGAAUAAAGUGAGGCACGUGUGCCUUUUUGUGUGUACUUUAUGAAAAAGCAUCGGCUAACUCCGUGCCAGCAGCCGCGGUAAUACGGAGGAUCCGAGCGUUAUCCGGAUUUAUUGGGUUUAAAGGGUGCGUAGGUGGGUUGUUAAGUCAGUUGUGAAAGUCUGGGGCUCAACCGUAGAAGUGCAAUUGAUACUGGCAGCCUUGAGAAGUGUUGAGUUAUGCGGAAUGCGUGGUGUAGCGGUGAAAUGCUUAGAUAUUGCGAAGAACUCCGAUUGCGAAGGCAGCAUACU
Molecule: ribosomal RNA, 395 nt
Filed under: uncultured bacterium
Lineage: Bacteria
Description: partial 16S ribosomal RNA
Rfam family: Bacterial small subunit ribosomal RNA
Source: RNAcentral